This 492-nucleotide ribosomal RNA is filed under the name uncultured bacterium. RNAcentral describes it as "partial 16S ribosomal RNA". It matches the Rfam family "Bacterial small subunit ribosomal RNA", at positions 29 to 507 of the family's 1533-position model. The record is from RNAcentral.
AGUGAACGCUGGCGGUAGGCCUAACACAUGCAAGUCGAACGGCAGCACAGUAAGAGCUUGCUCUUACGGGUGGCGAGUGGCGGACGGGUGAGGAAUACAUCGGAAUCUACUUUUUCGUGGGGGAUAACGUAGGGAAACUUACGCUAAUACCGCAUACGACCUACGGGUGAAAGCAUGGGAUCUUCGGACCUUGCGCGAUUGAAUGAGCCGAUGUCGGAUUAGCUAGUUGGCGGGGUAAAGGCCCACCAAGGCGACGAUCCGUAGCUGGUCUGAGAGGAUGAUCAGCCACACUGGAACUGAGACACGGUCCAGACUCCUACGGGGGGCAGCAGUGGGGAAUAUUGGACAAUGGGCGAAAGCCUGAUCCAGCCAUACCGCGUGGGUGAAGAAGGCCUUCGGGUUGUAAAGCCCUUUUGUUGGGAAAGAAAAGCAGCAGGUUAAUACCCCGCUGUUCUGACGGUACCAAAAGAAUAAGCACCGGCUAACUUCGUG